This 641-nucleotide ribosomal RNA is filed under the name Burkholderia sp. M68T3. Its description in RNAcentral is "bacterial SSU rRNA". It matches the Rfam family "Bacterial small subunit ribosomal RNA", at positions 56 to 693 of the family's 1533-position model. Lineage: Bacteria; Pseudomonadati; Pseudomonadota; Betaproteobacteria; Burkholderiales; Burkholderiaceae. The record is from RNAcentral.
UGCAGUCGGACGGCAGCACGGGGGCAACCCUGGUGGCGAGUGGCGAACGGGUGAGUAAUACAUCGGAACGUGUCCUGGAGUGGGGGAUAGCCCGGCGAAAGCCGGAUUAAUACCGCAUACGCUCUGAGGAGGAAAGGGGGGGAUCGCAAGACCUCCCGCUUUAGGGGCGGCCGAUGGCAGAUUAGCUAGUUGGUGGGGUAAAGGCCUACCAAGGCGACGAUCUGUAGCUGGUCUGAGAGGACGACCAGCCACACUGGGACUGAGACACGGCCCAGACUCCUACGGGAGGCAGCAGUGGGGAAUUUUGGACAAUGGGGGCAACCCUGAUCCAGCAAUGCCGCGUGUGUGAAGAAGGCCUUCGGGUUGUAAAGCACUUUUGUCCGGAAAGAAAGCAUCUGCACUAAUACUGUGGGUGGAUGACGGUACCGGAAGAAUAAGCACCGGCUAACUACGUGCCAGCAGCCGCGGUAAUACGUAGGGUGCAAGCGUUAAUCGGAAUUACUGGGCGUAAAGCGUGCGCAGGCGGUUCGCUAAGACAGAUGUGAAAUCCCCGGGCUUAACCUGGGAACUGCAUUUGUGACUGGCGGGCUAGAGUAUGGCAGAGGGGGGUAGAAUUCCACGUGUAGCAGUGAAAUGCGUAG